AUCCGUUGCCGAGAGUCGUUGUGAAUAAUACGACAAGAAUGCUUUGCCCCCCGCACACCGAGACCGGGGCAAGGGGCAAGCUUAUUCGUUUGAGCUCCUUGGCGCGACUUGCGUCGGUUUUGGUUUAGGCAUCAAAGGGGGCACGAAUGCUCCCCCCGACACAAAAGGUUUGAAAACACGUUCACGGGUCGUUUGAUGUUUAGGCAUCGACAAUGAUCCUUCCGCAGGUUCACCUACGGAAAUCGAAUUCCCGCUGCCACC
This 261-nucleotide ribosomal RNA is filed under the name uncultured fungus. RNAcentral's name for it is "partial 18S ribosomal RNA". The record is from RNAcentral. Lineage: Eukaryota; Fungi.